GAUCAGCUCUUGGGGCCAGGAUGGCUCCCUGCCAGGGUGUUCUGGGAAAUUCAUUUUAAGGGACUGAACCCAGGUCUCCUGCAUUUCAGGCAGAUUCUUUACCAUCUGAGCCACCAGGGAAGCCAGGGGUCCUGGAUUUUACCGCCUGACCCCAGCCACCCCAGGUGGGGGCCACUGAGUUCUCCAGGAGCAGGCUGCCCCCCACACCCAAUCUGGGUGGUCUCCUCUGCUGCAGAGAAGUUCUCGUCACAGAAAUGUGGUUUUCACGUACACAUCGGAGUCUGGAUCAGAACUUCUACCCCCGGCCGUAUGUUAUGCUGAUAAUUGGUACAAACACACCCUGAGUGCGAAGCACCCUUCUCGGAAAGCUGCUACACAGAGGAGAAGGCGACCAUCUGCAAACCAGCAAGAGGGCCCUCACCAGAACCCGACCGUGCCAGCACCCAGAUCCCCAGCUUCCAGCCCCUGGAACCGGGAGAAAUCACUAAAAUCACCCUGUGUGUCCUGAAGAUGGUACAAUCCCAGAGCAGAAGAGUCAUCAGAGUCCUUCAGAGAACAUGAGGGGCCUGGGUUCCCUGGGGAGCCAACUCUGAGGGGGACUGCUUGCAGGGCAUUUGCUCUGGGAGAACUCAGGGGACCUACAGCUGAGGGAGGGAAGAAGGUGGGCUUGGGCCUGCAGGCAACGGGGCUGGACCCAGCCAGUGGAGCUCCAGCCAGCCCCACUGCGGGCCCCAAGCUUGGAGGCCUCUUAGUUUCCCGGGAUGUGGGC
Molecule: long non-coding RNA, 769 nt
Organism: Bos taurus (domestic cattle)
Lineage: Eukaryota; Metazoa; Chordata; Mammalia; Artiodactyla; Bovidae
Source: Ensembl